Molecule: ribosomal RNA, 380 nt
Filed under: uncultured eukaryote
Lineage: Eukaryota
Description: partial 18S ribosomal RNA
Rfam family: Eukaryotic small subunit ribosomal RNA
Source: RNAcentral
CAACAGCGUAUAUUAAAGUUGUUGCAGUUAAAACGCUCGUAGUCGGAUUUCGGGGCGGGCGGGCCGGUCUGCCGAUGGGUAUGCACUGGUCUGGCCGUCCUUCCUUCCGGAGACCGUGCGUGCUCUUAACUGAGUGCGCUCGGGAGACGGAUCGUUUACUUUGAAAAAAUCAGAGUGUUUCAAGCAGGCAGCUCGCUCUUGCAUGGAUUAGCAUGGGAUAAUGAAAUAGGACUUUGGUGAUAUUUUGUUGGUUUCGAACACCGAAGUAAUGAUUAACAGGGACAGUCAGGGGCACUCGUAUUCCGCCGAGAGAGGUGAAAUUCUCAGACCAGCGGAAGACGAACCACUGCGAAAGCAUUUGCCAGGGAUGUUUUCACUGA